GCCACGCUAGGCUUUAAUCCAAAGAAUAAAACAACCAACCCAAAAGCAAAAAUCAGAUCCAAAAAAUAAACAGAAAUGGCCUAUGAAACAAAAUCAAAGUAAAAAAAAAAAAAACCUAAUCUUAAUCUAGUCAAAUCAACAACUUUUUAGAUGAUAGUAGUUUCCCAAAAAGCUUUUUUAUCUUCUGCUAUCAAUUCUCCAUGGAGGUCUUCCAUAAUCACAUUAGUCUGGAUGCCUUGGUCGCCGUUUCUCCAGUUCGUGACGAAUGUAGCCUAGAACAGCUCCCAUAAGAUAUUGUCCUUCUCCCCUUUUCAAUGUUUCAUACGCAAGAGUAUGGGCACAUUCAUUAUUUGUUCUAAGGAUAAAGUGGAAAACAAUCUCUUGAAAAUGAACCUUUUUGCUGUUAAUAUCUCUGAUGAGUGCCCCAAUAACUGAUUUAUCUGGAUCUGUAGUUUGACAUUUCUUUAUUAUUGUUCUUGAGUUUACCGCUAUUUCUAGAGUGUUAAAUUCCAUUGAAAUUCCUAACUGAAUGGCUCGUAACCCUGCAUGUUCUUCACCACAAAAGGAGAUGAUAUUGCAGUGUGAAUGACUGUCUUUGAUGCCAAAAUCUCGCCCCCCCACAUCCCAAACUACCAGUCCCGAAGUAGAUCUGGAAGAACGCUUGUCGAAGGCUGCGUCAAAAUAAAUUGUCACCCUCGUUUUCCUUUAAGUCUGUUUGUGGCCUCUGUCAACAUUUAAGGUGAGUUUCCUCUCCUUUAGGCCUUCCAACUCAAAAAUGUAACUUUGGAUUCGUUUCAAGAUAUCCCUACCCGUCUUGAUUUUUCUUUCAUGAAUUAUCUGAUUUAUAUGCGUCCAGAUUGACCAUAGUCCACCGUAAAAAAGACGACACUGUUUACUAUUUCCCCAACUAAAAACCCAGGUGAGCCAUUCCCACAUACUUUGAAUCACAUUAUUAAACACCCAGGAAAGAUUUAAGUUCUGCCAUACCUCAAUUGUUGUAAGGCGGUGGCAAAAAAUGUGAUUGUUGUUUUCUUCAGAAUUACGACAACGAGGGCAAUAAAUUUUCUCUUCCAUUCUUUUAUGCUUGAGAUUAGUUAAAGUAGGGAUAUAGUUCCAAGAGAUUCUCCAUACAGUGAUUUUGACUUUCGAAGGAAGUUGUAAAUUCCAUAAUUUCCUGUAGAAAUCUUUAGUCUCGGUCUAUAUUAAAUUAUUACUAGGACUCAAAUUAGCCACAUGUAAUAGUUUAUAGGCACUUCUGACUGAGAAAUCGCCUGAAGGUUUUCUUCUCCAAACUUGAAAGUCGUCGUGUGCUGUCUCUGCCAAAGGAAUUUACAGAAUUUUCUUUGCAGUAUCCGUAUUAAAGGUAUUAAUAAUUAUAUUUGUCUUUCAAGAUUUGUUUGUGGCAUCAAUUAAAUCCGAUACUAACUUGAUAUUUUCAUAGUUGGCAUCAUUGUAUAAUCUAUCUGUAUCGGCUCUCGAUAUCCACAAAUCACCCCAAACAGAAAUUCGAUCCCCCAUACUGACCCUCCAACAUAGACCGCUUUCCAUGAG
This 1551-nucleotide long non-coding RNA is filed under the name Gossypium barbadense (sea-island cotton). RNAcentral's name for it is "long non-coding RNA (GBAR_LNC018179)". Lineage: Eukaryota; Viridiplantae; Streptophyta; Magnoliopsida; Malvales; Malvaceae. The record is from RNAcentral.